UAGGGAAUCUUCCACAAUGGACGCAAGUCUGAUGGAGCAACGCCGCGUGAGUGAAGAAGGUUUUCGGACCGUAAAGCUCUGUUGUUGGUGAAGAAGGAUAGAGGUAGUAACUGGCCUUUAUUUAACGGUAAUCAACCAGAAAGUCACGGCUAACUACGUGCCAGCAGCCGCGGUAAUACGUAGGUGGCAAGCGUUGUCCGGAUUUAUUGGGCGUAAAGCGAGCGCAGGCGGAAGAAUAAGUCUGAUGUGAAAGCCCUCGGCUUAACCGAGGAAUUGCAUCGGAAACUGUUUUCUUGAGUGCAGAAGAGGAGAGUAGAACUCCAUGUGUAGCGGUGGAAUGCGUAGAUAUAUGGAAGAAUACCAGUGGCGAAGGCGGCUCUCUGGUCUGCAACUGACGCUGAGGCUCGAAAGCAUGGGUAGCGAACAGGAUUAGAUACCCUGGUAGUCCAUGCCGUAAACGAUGAAUGCUAAGUGUUGGGAGGCUUCCGCCUCUCAGUGCUGCAGCUAACGCAUUAAGCACUCCGCCUGGGGAGUACGACCGCAAGGUUGAAAC
Molecule: ribosomal RNA, 553 nt
Filed under: uncultured bacterium
Lineage: Bacteria
Description: partial 16S ribosomal RNA
Rfam family: Bacterial small subunit ribosomal RNA
Source: RNAcentral